RNAcentral lists this ribosomal RNA (555 nucleotides) under Kocuria palustris. Its description in RNAcentral is "bacterial SSU rRNA". It matches the Rfam family "Bacterial small subunit ribosomal RNA", at positions 63 to 627 of the family's 1533-position model. Lineage: Bacteria; Bacillati; Actinomycetota; Actinomycetes; Micrococcales; Micrococcaceae. The record is from RNAcentral.
CGAACGCUGAAGCACCAGCUUGCUGGUGUGGAUGAGUGGCGAACGGGUGAGUAAUACGUGAGUAACCUGCCCUUGACUCUGGGAUAAGCCCGGGAAACUGGGUCUAAUACUGGAUGCUACAUGUCACCGCAUGGUGGUGUGUGGAAAGGGUUUACUGGUCUUGGAUGGGCUCACGGCCUAUCAGCUUGUUGGUGAGGUAAUGGCUCACCAAGGCGACGACGGGUAGCCGGCCUGAGAGGGUGACCGGCCACACUGGGACUGAGACACGGCCCAGACUCCUACGGGAGGCAGCAGUGGGGAAUAUUGCACAAUGGGCGAAAGCCUGAUGCAGCGACGCCGCGUGAGGGAUGACGGCCUUCGGGUUGUAAACCUCUUUCAGCAGGGAAGAAGCCACAAGUGACGGUACCUGCAGAAGAAGCGCCGGCUAACUACGUGCCAGCAGCCGCGGUAAUACGUAGGGCGCAAGCGUUGUCCGGAAUUAUUGGGCGUAAAGAGCUCGUAGGCGGUUUGUCGCGUCUGCUGUGAAAGCCCGGGGCUUAACCCCGGGUGUGCAGU